GAUGAACGCUGGCGGCGUGCCUAAUACAUGCAAGUCGAGCGAACAGACGAGGAGCUUGCUCCUCUGACGUUAGCGGCGGACGGGUGAGUAACACGUGGAUAACCUACCUAUAAGACUGGGAUAACUUCGGGAAACCGGAGCUAAUACCGGAUAAUAUAUUGAACCGCAUGGUUCAAUAGUGAAAGACGGUUUUGCUGUCACUUAUAGAUGGAUCCGCGCCGCAUUAGCUAGUUGGUAGGGAACGGCUUACCAAGGCAACGAUGCGUAGCCGACCUGAGAGGGUGAUCGGCCACACUGGAACUGAGACACGGUCCAGACUCCUACGGGAGGCAGCAGUAGGGAAUCUUCCGCAAAGGGCGAAAGCCUGACGGAGCAACGCCGCGUGAGUGAUGAAGGUCUUCGGAUCGUAAAACUCUGUUAUUAGGGAAGAACAAAUGUGUAAGUAACUAUGCACGUCUUGACGGUACCUAAUCAGAAAGCCACGGCUAACUACGUG
This 496-nucleotide ribosomal RNA is filed under the name uncultured bacterium. RNAcentral's name for it is "partial 16S ribosomal RNA". It matches the Rfam family "Bacterial small subunit ribosomal RNA", at positions 28 to 507 of the family's 1533-position model. The record is from RNAcentral.